This 530-nucleotide ribosomal RNA is filed under the name uncultured ciliate. RNAcentral's name for it is "SSU rRNA". It matches the Rfam family "Eukaryotic small subunit ribosomal RNA", at positions 512 to 1051 of the family's 1831-position model. The record is from RNAcentral. Lineage: Eukaryota; Ciliophora.
CAAUGAGACGAAUUUACACCCCUUAUCGAUCACCAAUUGGAGGGCAAGUCUGGUGCCAGCAGCCGCGGUAAUUCCAGCUCCAAUAGCGUAUAUUAAAGUUGUUGCAGUUGAAAAGCUCGUAGUUGGAUUUCUGGCAGGGGGUUAAAGACCGCUUGCAGCGUGUGCUUGCAAUCCCCUACCAUCCUUCUGUUAACGCGCCAGGACAUUCACUUGUCGGGCGCGGGCUCAGAUAAUUUACCUUGAGAAAAUUAGAGUGUUUCAGGCAGGCUGACGCCGGGAUACAUUAGCAUGGAAUAAUGGAAUAGGACUUUCGCCUCUUCUGUUGGUCUGAGGGGUGAUCGUAAUGAUUAAUAGGGAUAGUUGGGGGCAUUAGUACUUAACUGUCAGAGGUGAAAUUCUCGGAUUUGUUAAAGACUAACUUAUGCGAAAGCAUUUGCCAAGGAUGUUUUCAUUAAUCAAGAACGAAAGUUAGGGGAUCAAAGACGAUCAGAUACCGUCCUAGUCUUAACCAUAAACUAUGCCGACUCGGG